Non-coding RNA from Hymenobacter sp., 109 nucleotides. Lineage: Bacteria; Pseudomonadati; Bacteroidota; Cytophagia; Cytophagales; Hymenobacteraceae. The record is from Rfam.
CUGCUAUCCAGAAAGACCGAGGGACUGGGCCCUGUGACGUCUUGGCAACCUGCUUUGAGUAGGUGCCAACUCCCGUUCUGCCAAUGCGUUUGGCUGAAGAAGAUGACAG